This 329-nucleotide unclassified non-coding RNA is filed under the name soil metagenome. Its description in RNAcentral is "partial contains 5.8S ribosomal RNA, internal transcribed spacer 2, and large subunit ribosomal RNA". The stretch from base 1 to 120 matches the Rfam family "5.8S ribosomal RNA", at positions 35 to 154 of the family's 154-position model. The record is from RNAcentral.
GAUGAAGAACGCAGCGAAAUGUGAUAAGUAGUGUGAAUUGCAGAAUUCAGUGAAUCAUCGAAUCUUUGAACGCACAUUGCGCCCCUUGGUAUCCCGAGGGGCAUGCCUGUUCGAGCGUCAUUUCACCACUCAAGCCUGGCUUGGUGUUGGGCGACGUCCUCUUUGGGGACGCGCCUCGAAACGCUCGGCGGCGUGGCACCGGCUUUAAGCGUAGCAGAAUCUUUCGCUUUGGAAGUCGGGGCCCCGUCUGCCGGAAGACCUGCUCGCAAGGUUGACCUCGGAUCAGGCAGGGAUACCCGCUGAACUUAAGCAUAUCAAUAAGCGGAGGA